This 70-nucleotide transfer RNA is filed under the name Dipodomys ordii (Ord's kangaroo rat). It matches the Rfam family "tRNA". From Rfam's summary of the family: Transfer RNA (tRNA) molecules are approximately 80 nucleotides in length. Lineage: Eukaryota; Metazoa; Chordata; Mammalia; Rodentia; Heteromyidae. The record is from Rfam by way of RNAcentral.
GGGAAAGUAGCUCAGUGGUAGAGUGCUUGCCUUGCAUGCAUGAGGUCCUGGGUUCGAUUCCUCAGCACCA